Molecule: ribosomal RNA, 254 nt
Filed under: uncultured bacterium
Lineage: Bacteria
Description: partial 16S ribosomal RNA
Rfam family: Bacterial small subunit ribosomal RNA
Source: RNAcentral
CACGUAGGGGGCGAGCGUUGUCCGGAUUUAUUGGGCGUAAAGAGCUCGUAGGCGGCUCAGUAAGUCAGGUGUGAAAACUCCAGGCUCAACCUGGAGACGCCACUUGAUACUGCUGUGGCUAGAGUCCGGUAGGGGAGCAUGGAAUUCCUGGUGUAGCGGUGAAAUGCGCAGAUAUCAGGAGGAACACCAGUGGCGAAGGCGGUGCUCUGGGCCGGAACUGACGCUGAGGUGCGAAAGCGUGGGGAGCAAACAGG